This 465-nucleotide ribosomal RNA is filed under the name uncultured bacterium. Its description in RNAcentral is "partial 16S ribosomal RNA". It matches the Rfam family "Bacterial small subunit ribosomal RNA", at positions 28 to 507 of the family's 1533-position model. The record is from RNAcentral.
GACGAACGCUGGCGGCGUGCUUAACACAUGCAAGUCGUACGGUAAGGCCCUUUCGGGGGUACCCGAGUGGCGAACGGGUGAGUAACACGUGAGUAACCUGCCCACAACUUUGGGAUAACGCUAGGAAACUGGUGCUAAUACUGGAUAUGUGCUCCUGCUGCAUGGUGGGGGUUGGAAAGCUCCGGCGGUUGUGGAUGGACUCGCGGCCUAUCAGCUUGUUGGUGGGGUAGUGGCCUACCAAGGCGGCGACGGGUAGCCGGCCUGAGAGAGUGACCGGCCACAGUGGGACUGAGAUACGGCCCAGACUCCUACUGGAGGCAGCAGUGGGGAAUAUUGCACAAGGGGCGCAAGCCGGAUGCAGCAACGCCGCGGGCGGGAGGACGGCCUUCGGGUUGUAAACCGCUUUCAGCAGUGACGAAGCUUUUUGUGACGGUACCUGCAGAAUAAGCACCGGCUAACUACGUG